UACGAAGGGGGCUAGCGUUGCUCGGAAUUACUGGGCGUAAAGCGCGCGUAGGCGGGUCGUUAAGUCGGGGGUGAAAUCCUGGAGCUCAACUCCAGAACUGCCUUCGAUACUGGAGAGCUCGAGUCCGGGAGAGGUGAGUGGAACUGCGAGUGUAGAGGUGAAAUUCGUAGAUAUUCGCAAGAACACCAGUGGCGAAGGCGGCUCACUGGCCCGGUACUGACGCUGAGGUGCGAAAGCGUGGGGAGCAAACAGG
Molecule: ribosomal RNA, 253 nt
Filed under: uncultured bacterium
Lineage: Bacteria
Description: partial 16S ribosomal RNA
Rfam family: Bacterial small subunit ribosomal RNA
Source: RNAcentral